AUCACCUAGGGAAUUUUGUUAAAAUGCAGAUUCUAAUCCAGCAGGACUGAGGUGGGGCCUGAGGUUCUGCAUUUCUAACAUACUUCUAGGUGAUUUCAA
Molecule: microRNA precursor, 99 nt
Filed under: Canis lupus familiaris (dog)
Lineage: Eukaryota; Metazoa; Chordata; Mammalia; Carnivora; Canidae
Also listed under: 1 other name
Description: mir-544 microRNA precursor family
Rfam family: mir-544 microRNA precursor family
Source: Rfam by way of RNAcentral